RNAcentral lists this transfer RNA (91 nucleotides) under Stachybotrys elegans. Its description in RNAcentral is "tRNA-Pro". It matches the Rfam family "tRNA". Rfam says of the family: Transfer RNA (tRNA) molecules are approximately 80 nucleotides in length. Their secondary structure includes four short double-helical elements and three loops (D, anti-codon, and T loops). Lineage: Eukaryota; Fungi; Ascomycota; Sordariomycetes; Hypocreales; Stachybotryaceae. The record is from RNAcentral.
GGUCUGGUGGUCUAGUGGUAUGAUUCUCGCUUAGGGACUUACCCUAUAGCACGCUUGCGAGAGGUCCCGGGUUCAAUCCCCGGCCAGACCC